GAAAGCCGGAUUAAUACCGCAUACGAUCUACGGAUGAAAGCGGGGGACCUUCGGGCCUCGCGCUAUAGGGUUGGCCGAUGGCUGAUUAGCUAGUUGGUGGGGUAAAGGCCUACCAAGGCGACGAUCAGUAGCUGGUCUGAGAGGACGACCAGCCACACUGGGACUGAGACACGGCCCAGACUCCUACGGGAGGCAGCAGUGGGGAAUUUUGGACAAUGGGCGAAAGCCUGAUCCAGCAAUGCCGCGUGUGUGAAGAAGGCCUUCGGGUUGUAAAGCACUUUUGUCCGGAAAGAAAUCCUUGGUUCUAAUAUAACCGGGGGAUGACGGUACCGGAAGAAUAAGCACCGGCUAACUACGUGCCAGCAGCCGCGGUAAUACGUAGGGUGCGAGCGUUAAUCGGAAUUACUGGGCGUAAAGCGUGCGCAGGCGGUUUGUUAAGACCGAUGUGAAAUCCCCGGGCUCAACCUGGGAACUGCAUUGGUGACUGGCAAGCUAGAGUAUGGCAGAGGGGGGGUAGAAUUUCCACGUGUAGCAGUGAAAUGCGUAGAGAUGUGGAGGAAUACCGAUGGCGAAGGCAGCCCCCUGGGCCAAUACUGACGCUCAUGCACGAAAGCGUGGGGGAGCAAACAGGAUUAGAUACCCUGGUAGUCCACGCCCUAAACGAUGUCAACUAGUUGUUGGGGAUUCAUUUCCUUAGUAACGUAGCUAACGCGUGAAGUUGACCGCCUGGGGAGUACGGUCGCAAGAUUAAAACUCAAAGGAAUUGACGGGGACCCGCACAAGCGGUGGAUGAUGUGGAUUAAUUCGAUGCAACGCGAAAAACCUUACCUACCCUUGACAUGGUCGGAAUUCCGCUGAGAGGUGGAAGUGCUCGAAAGAGAACCGGCGCACAGGUGCUGCAUGGCUGUCGUCAGCUCGUGUCGUGAGAUGUUGGGUUAAGUCCCGCAACGAGCGCAACCCUUGUCCUUAGUUGCUACGCAAGAGCACUCUAAGGAGACUGCCGGUGACAAACCGGAGGAAGGUGGGGAUGACGUCAAGUCCUCAUGGCCCUUAUGGGUAGGGCUUCACACGUCAUACAAUGGUCGGAACAGAGGGUUGCCAACCCGCGAGGGGGAGCUAAUCCCAGAAAACCGAUCGUAGUCCGGAUUGCACUCUGCAACUCGAGUGCAUGAAGCUGGAAUCGCUAGUAAUCGCGGAUCAGCA
This 1203-nucleotide ribosomal RNA is filed under the name Burkholderia sp. Its description in RNAcentral is "bacterial SSU rRNA". It matches the Rfam family "Bacterial small subunit ribosomal RNA", at positions 153 to 1354 of the family's 1533-position model. Lineage: Bacteria; Pseudomonadati; Pseudomonadota; Betaproteobacteria; Burkholderiales; Burkholderiaceae. The record is from RNAcentral.